UAGAGUUUGAUCAUGGCUCAGAUUGAACGCUGGCGGCAGGCCUAACACAUGCAAGUCGAGCGGUAACAGAAAUUAGCUUGCUAGCUUGCUAGCUUGCUAAUUUGCUGACGAGCGGCGGACGGGUGAGUAAUACCUGGGAAUAUGCCUUAGUGUGGGGGAUAACUAUUGGAAACGAUAGCUAAUACCGCAUAAUGUCUUCGGACCAAAGAGGGGGAUCUUCGGACCUCUCGCGCUAAGAUUAGCCCAGGUGAGAUUAGCUAGUUGGUGGGGUAAGAGCUCACCAAGGCGACGAUCUCUAGCUGGUCUGAGAGGAUGAUCAGCCACACUGGAACUGAGACACGGUCCAGACUCCUACGGGAGGCAGCAGUGGGGAAUAUUGCACAAUGGGCGAAAGCCUGAUGCAGCCAUGCCGCGUGUAUGAAGAAGGCCUUCGGGUUGUAAAGUACUUUCAGUCGUGAGGAAGGGUGUGUAGUUAAUAGCUGCAUAUCUUGACGUUAGCGACAGAAGAAGCACCGGCUAACUCCGUGCCAGCAGCCGCGGUAAUACGGAGGGUGCGAGCGUUAAUCGGAAUUACUGGGCGUAAAGCGCAUGCAGGUGGUUCAUUAAGUCAGAUGUGAAAGCCCGGGGCUCAACCUCGGAACCGCAUUUGAAACUGGUGAACUAGAGUGCUGUAGAGGGGGGUAGAAUUUCA
This 691-nucleotide ribosomal RNA is filed under the name uncultured Vibrionaceae bacterium. RNAcentral's name for it is "bacterial SSU rRNA". It matches the Rfam family "Bacterial small subunit ribosomal RNA", at positions 1 to 671 of the family's 1533-position model. Lineage: Bacteria; Pseudomonadati; Pseudomonadota; Gammaproteobacteria; Vibrionales; Vibrionaceae. The record is from RNAcentral.